UUAAUUACUACCUAAAUAUAUGAGAGGUUCAAGAAACUCAAUUAAAUUGCAAACAGCACCACACAGUGGAGAGAUUCGUUACAUAAACAUUUUGACUGGUUCCACCCAAAUUCAGCAAUAAUAUUUAUGCUGUUAUCUGUCUGCCCUUUAGGUUUCUACUGUCUUGAAGGCACAGGGUAUGACCGGAGACCUUGUCCAGCAGGGACAUACAGCCCUGACUCUGGUUUGAGUGUCCUCUCUGAGUGUAGAGAAUGUGAUGGAGGACACUACUACUCACUUCAGAACUCCACGUCUGUCACAGGAAAAUGCUCUGAGGGAUGUUACUGCACACAUGGGAACAUCUCACCUCAACCUCACACACAGUCUGCAGCCCAAUCAACGAUCACAGCGGAGGACCGUGUCCGACAGGUUAUUUUUGCUUUAGAGGCUCAGGCACUCCUCAAGUCUGUCCAGAAGGAUCCUUCAGCAGUAGAGAGAGACAGGCCAGCUGCAGCCUGUGUCCCCAAGGGUAGAUACACUUACACAUACACAAGAAUGUUAAACAUUUAA
Cyprinus carpio (common carp) is the source of this 549-nucleotide long non-coding RNA. Lineage: Eukaryota; Metazoa; Chordata; Actinopteri; Cypriniformes; Cyprinidae. The record is from Ensembl.